This is a long non-coding RNA of Prionailurus viverrinus (fishing cat), 422 nucleotides long. RefSeq lists it as uncharacterized. The transcript is spliced from 3 exons. The record is from RefSeq and is a predicted model, not a curated record. Lineage: Eukaryota; Metazoa; Chordata; Mammalia; Carnivora; Felidae.
CAGGCCGGGAAGGAACCACACCUUCAGCGUGCCCUUCUCGGGAGCACAUUCUCUCUCACCGGUGGGGCGAAAUCUCCCUUUACCUGGAAUCAGGUUUCGUUGUUUUGUUUUUCCCUUUAGGAGCAAACUGUUCACUUAAGGGCAGUCAUAGACUAUUCCCGAAAAAAGGAAUCCCUGAGAAGCAAUCUUCCACGGGAACCCUGCCACCAAAAAACUUUCAGAGGAAAUGGAAGGACUGGCAGAGGAAGGGGAUUGUCCCCGGAGUCAUAACUCAUCUCGCCUCCAACUCGGGUCGAGGCAUCGAUGAAUCUUCAUCCUCUGGCUCCUGUGCUCCCUGGCUAGCCGCUGCCCACGCCGCUGUUCACACCUUCAAUGGCAUCCAGGGGGGAUGGUUCCUUCUGGGAGCCUCAGAAAUAAAGAAG